AUGAAGGAUAUUGUAGAGAAACUGCAGCAUAUGCGGAAUGAGAUUAACAAGAUUCUGCAGGGUUCUGCCCCUAAAACUGUCCCAGACAUUGCCCAGGGUCGUCCUAUCACCAAAGGUCGAAUUGAUGAGCCAAAACUGUAUGGGAGGGACCGUGUCAUGAAGAGCAUCAUGGAUGAUAUCACCAAGGGUCAAUACUGUGACAAUGGUCUAACCGUGCUCCCGGUUGUUGGUCCUGGAGGAAUGGGGAAGACAACUCUGAUACAACACAUAUAUCGCAACGGACAAGUGCAGAAUCAUUUUCCAGUCACUAUUUGGAUAUGUGUGUCAGUCAAGUUUGAUCUGGAAAAAGUGCUAGGACAGAUUAAAACAUGUAUUCCUAAAGUUCAAGAUGAAAAAGAGAGCAGUACAACAGAAGAGUUGAUUGAACAAAGAUUAAAAUCUACAAAGUUCUUACUUGUAUUGGAUGAUAUAUGGAAGAUUAGUAAUGGGGAUGACUGGGGAAAAUUAUUGUCGACACUCAAUAAAUCAGAGGAAAAGGGUUCCAUGAUUCUGGUCACAACCCGGUUUCAGGCAAUAGCACAGAAGACUCAAACAACUGGCCAUUCAGUAGAGCUGGAUGGUUUAGAAUAUGAAGAGUUUAGAAAGUUAUUCCUUGCAUUUGUCUUUGGUGAUGAGCAAUAUCCAAGGGACAAACAAUUUUUGCUUGAGACUGGAGAUAAGAUAAUGGAAAAACUAAAGGGCUCCCCUCUUGCAGCAAAAACGGUUGGUAGAUUACUGAGUAAAGACCUUAGUUUGGGUCACUGGAAAAAGGUCCUAAAAAGUAAAGGAUGGGAGAAGCAGACCGAUGACAAUGAAAUUAUGCCUGCCUUGAAGCUUAGCUAUGACUUUCUUCCUUUCCAUCUGCAACAAUGUUUUGCCUAUUCUGGAUUGUUUCCUGAAGAUUACGGUUUCAGAAGUGACGAGCUGAUCAGUCUAUGGAUCGGACUAGAUAUUUUGAUACCCAAUGGCCAAAACCAAAUAUUUGAAGACAUAGGGCUGAGCAAUUUAAAUGAGUUAGUCAUUCAUGGAUUUUUCAGAGAAGAGGAAACUGAUGGUGAUCUGUGUUAUGUUAUGCAUGACCUGCUGCAUGAUUUGGCAUUGAAGGUUGCAUCUCAUGAUUGUCUUAGUUUAAGUCUCCCUAUUGUUGGAUCAGUAGAGAUUCAACCAACCACCUGUCACUUGUCUAUAAGCACAUAUGGUUUAGGUAAAUAUGAUGCAGUAUCUGGUAAAAAAUUGAAGAGUGAAUUGGAAGAACUAAAGACAAGAUUUAAGGUUGAAGAUUUGCAAACAUUGAUGUUAUUUGGAGAAGUGGAUGAAGGUUUUGUCAAGAUAUUUGGUGAUUUUUUGGAGGAAGCGAACACUCUUCGUGUUCUUCAUUUGCCCAAAAUGUGUUGUCCCGUGGAGUUCAUGUUACAUAACUUUUCGGGACUUCUCCACCUACAAUACCUAUGUCUAGGGACACAUGACAGUCAGAUGCAUUUACCACUUAGCAUCUCUAAAUUUUAUCAUUUAAGGAUUCUAGGUCUUGAGUUGUGGCAUGGUCGUCGUGAUUUGCCCAAAGACAUGAGCAACCUUGCCAAAUUGUGCCAUUUUUAUGUCCCAAGUGAUGAUCAGCUCCAUUCUGAUAUUUAUAAUGUGGGAAAACUUAAACUCUUAGAAGAGCUAAAGGUAUUUCAAGUCUAUAAAAAAAGUGAAGGGUUUGAACCAAAGGAACUAGAGCACUUGACCAAGCUAAGGGAGCUUGGCAUCUACAACCUUGAGAAAAUACGUAAAGAGGAAGAAGCAGCUCAAGCAAAACUGAUAGAGAAAAGCUAUCUGAGGAAGUUAACAUUGGAUUGGGAUAGUGAGCGGUUUAGUGUUGAGCCCAGUGUGGAAGCAGUAGUUCUUGAGAGCCUUCAACCUCAUGGAGAUCUUCAGGUGUUGUGCAUUAGAGGGCAUGAAGGUCCUUCUUGUCCGACAUGGCUGGGUGAUGAGUUCGCUGUUGAAGCUCUACAAUCUCUUUAUCUUUGUGGUGUUUCCUGGGAAGUUUUCCCUUCUUUAGGGAAGGCGUGGGAUCUUCGUGGAUUGAAAUUGAAGCAUAUUGCCAAAAUGAAGGAGUUUAUUAUAGAGGAAAGCUUUUGCAGGCUAAUAAAGCUUAAACUCAUUGGCCUAGGAAGUUUUGCAAAAUGGGUUUACCCAACUGAAGAAGAGUCUUCUGUUGGUGGGGACUUGUUGCCACCGGAUGCUCAUAUGUUCCCUCUUUUGCAAGUUCUGGUUAUUAGGAGGUGCCCGAAACUGUUGGGGUUGCCUUUCUCAAACCACAUCGUUUCCCCGAACCGGUUCCCCAAGCUACAAGAGCUUGAGGUACAUGACUGUCCCAAAUUCUUGCCAGUGAUUCCCAUCUCCUGGAUUGAAAGUCUGUGUUCUGUCAAGAUGAAAUGUGUAAAGAUGCUAGAGGAGUUUGCGUACUCAAAAUCGUCUGAUGGAGUUAAAUUGAAAAUUAUCGGAGAGGGUGAUCUGCAUAGCUUAGAUGAAGUGUUAGUUUUAGAUAAAGAAACAGGUCUUGAGAAGCUGGAACUCGAGAGUUGCCCACCUCUGGAGUUGAAGCACCUUCUGAUGCUAACCUCGCUGAAGACAUUGAUUGUAAAAUAUUCAGAUGGUCUGGUUGGACCAGUAGGAGGUCAGGGUGAUGUGGAAUGGCGGCUCCCUGUUGAGUACAUGAGGAUCUCGGACUUAAAUGGUGAUAUUGGGGAGGAAUUGACAGAGCUCCUCCCCCACCUCCCAAAGCUCUCCAAAUUGGAAAUAUGCUUUUGUAAUAGCAUAAAAAAGCUGAUAGUAGGGGUGGAUGUACAACAGACAACAUCAGAAGCAUCAGAAAUGGGGGGAGGUGAAAUAACAGCAGCAGCAGAGGAAGAGGAUGAGGAAGAUGAAUUGACGGCAUCAGAAGAGGAAGAGAUGGAGGAAGAUGAAAUAACAACAUCAGAAGCAUCAGAGACAGAGGAAGAUGAAACAACAACAGCAGCAGAGGAAGAUCAUGACGGUGUGCUGCUCUUCCCAGCUCAUCUCUGUAACUCACUACAGGAAUUGGAGUUGAUUCACUGCAAAGAGAUGGUCCUGGUGGACCCACCAACUCUUGUUCCUGGAGAAGGAUGGCUACAAGCCUUGCGAUCCCUCCAGAGAUUAACAAUAUAUUCCCCAAAGUUUCUAUCUGCAUUCACGUCUUCCUGUCAUGUUUUUCCUUCCUCCCUGCAGUACCUGAAGCUUAGGGGUGUGGAAGGCAUGGGGACACUCGAGCCCCUCUCAAACCUCUCCUCCCUUACCAGAUUAGAAUUGGAGGAUUGCGGAGAGGAUCUGAAAUGUCAGGGUUUGCAGUCUCUUGUUACCACCGGGGGGCAGCUUAAGUGUUUAGAAGUCAUGUGGGUCAAGGAAUUACAAGUCUGGGACAGCUCUAGAUUCUUUGCUGGUUGGGAUCCCAGACAGGAGAAACAGCUUGUUUCAUCUACGCUACAGGAGCUCUGCACGGAUGACAUAGCGGGGCUCCUUUCUGCACCCGUCUGCAGCUUCUUCUCUUCUGCACUCACCAAGCUGAAACUUCGGGGGUGGGACUACAAAGGGAUGGAGUGCUUCAGCAGGGAGCAAGAAAACUCACUUCAGCUCCUCUCCCACCUCCAGGAACUCGACUUUUUCUCAUUCGACAACCUUCAGCAACUCCCCGCAGGGCUGUGCAACCUUACCAGCCUCAAGAAAUUAACAAUCGACAGCUGCCCAGCAGUCUCGUCGUUGCCCAAUGAUGGCCUCCCUGAAUCACUGCAAGUGCUAUAUGUCAGAUACAAAUGCAGCCAGGAGCUAAAACAGCAGUGCAGGGGGUUGGAGGGAACCAUCCCAAGAAUCAUAAUAGACUAG
RNAcentral lists this ribosomal RNA (3921 nucleotides) under Triticum aestivum (bread wheat). RNAcentral's name for it is "partial small subunit ribosomal RNA". Lineage: Eukaryota; Viridiplantae; Streptophyta; Magnoliopsida; Poales; Poaceae. The record is from RNAcentral.